This 525-nucleotide long non-coding RNA is filed under the name Macaca mulatta (Rhesus monkey). Its description in RNAcentral is "lncRNA (ENSMMUG00000047309.2)". The record is from RNAcentral. Lineage: Eukaryota; Metazoa; Chordata; Mammalia; Primates; Cercopithecidae.
UUGCACCGUAGAAAUACUUGCAGAUCUGCCAGGAACAUGAACGACAGGCAUUUUCCACAAAAGUUUCUCUCCAUCAGUCAAGCCAGGGACUGUUUUCUAAAGGCACGACAAAAGCAGUGAAUUCCCUCGUUAUAAAUCUCCUUGCAGGGAGCCAGCUUUGCAGUUGAGUGCCAACUUCCUCUGCCCAAGUUUCCUCUGUCCACACCGCAUGGGUUUGGCCUGGAAGUCUCAUGGAGUGUAUUGCCUGAGGUGGACUUCAAGGGAGGAUUUAACAUCACCGUGUUUCUGUCUGGGGACCAUUCCACAGUCAGGGAAAUUCAAGAAUAUCUGUGAAUUUUAACCAGAUUAUAAAAAGCAGUGUCUUUAAUCUGAGAGGCCAUCAUUUUCAGGAUGACAAGAUAUGACAAAAUAGAAUAAAACUGAUCUGUGAGUUCAAUGAAGAAGACUGAGAAGACCAAGUAAGAAUUUUGGAGAUCUUAAAAGUAAUAAUAAAAUGUAUUAAAAAUAUAGUUGUUAUUUUGGAAU